Molecule: long non-coding RNA, 1802 nt
Filed under: Lactuca sativa (garden lettuce)
Lineage: Eukaryota; Viridiplantae; Streptophyta; Magnoliopsida; Asterales; Asteraceae
Description: long non-coding RNA (LSAT_LNC009208)
Source: RNAcentral
UGUAAUUUUACUCAAACAUAGAGUCCAAUCAGAUAUUAAAUAGACCUGCAAACACCCCAUAUAACUUCAAGAUAUUGCAACCCAAAGCGUCCAAAAGUGGGCUAAAUUUAUCAUUGUCAAUGAGAUCAAAACCUAAUCUCCUACACAACAUCAUGAUAUUGAAACUAUGUCAAAUUAAAUGGAACAUUGGAAUCCUAAAAAAGCUGUUAAAACAUAAUAAAAAACAAAAAACCCAAAACAAAAUUAUUAUGUGCAUUUUUCUGUUGUGUUAGGUUGCAUCAGCCCAUGAUUGCAACACAGAAGGAGCUAUUUUGAAUUUCUAAAGAUUUUUAUUUUAUUAUUUUUCUAAUUAAAACUCGUGUACAUGGUUAGAAACAUCACCAUAUUUUAUGCUAAGUGAAACCUUUUAAAAUAUCAAAAUAAUUCAUCUUGAUUUACUCAAGAAAUAGUGGGUUAAAGAUACCUACAAGUGCAAGUUUCAUUAACCUGAAACAUUUUUUACCCAUUAGUGGUUGGAUCACGUUGUCUUUCAUGCAUCCCUGAAACCACAUGCACAAAAAUAUUGAUUAACACACUUCCUCCAAGUCCAGAGGCUAUGGUGAAGCCAAUAUUUCGAUGUUUGUUACGAUUAUCUUAGUAAAAUGAACCAGGACAUGCAUAGAAACAAUAGACCAAAAAAAAACACCAUACUGAGUUUCAAUUAAAACAUUACACAAUAAGAAACACCACAAGCCAUCUUGUAUUGAUUCACUUUUCAUCUCUUAAGCCUUGCAAAAAAGCCUCUUACUUUGGCGACUUGUAGAUUUCUGGCCCUAAUUAUAACAUAACUUAAAAUCAAAGAAAACAAAAUCAAGAUAAACAAUUGAAUAUAAACGGAAUGUCAUUACUGUGUGUUAUCGAUGUCUUCCAACCAUAAGUAAAACCAAAAGUGAGGUCCGGGCAUAGUUCCACAAAAAGUAAACCUUAUGUAAGUAACGGAAUCAUCGGUUCACGCUUCAGCUUCAUCAUCUCCGUUUGGAUCUGGAAAAUUAAAAUACAAAAAAUGUGAGAAAAAUGAUGAACAUAGACCUAAAAAUCAAACGUGGGAAAUUAAAAUUCAAGCGUUGGGGAAAUUGAUGAACAUUGAUGACUAUGGAAAACGGCCAAAAAAACAUGGGCGACGACACACCCAGAAAAGAUAACAGAGAGCAAGAGAGAUGGAAUUGGAGUUAGGGUUAUGAGAAGAAGCAAGGUGGAGAAAUCAUACCUAGCGCCUAUACAUCAUUGAAGAAUUUUAUUGAACAAUUGGUGUGUGUCUAUAAACAACGUUAACAAAGAAAAUUUUAGUUGACGAAUUCGUGAAUAAUGAAAGCCAAUCAGAAAAUCAUUAUUCCUUACAAAGAAUAUAGAUAGAACCAUAAACACUCGAUUGAAAGAGAUGAAUAUGAAAAAAGAUACACGAACAGAUGAAGCAGGCUGAGACCCAUAAAUCAAAGGAAGAAAAUACAUAUGAAGGAAGCAGUCCAUUAUACAAAAAACAAAGACGUAUGGAAAACAAAGCACAACUUAUUUUCAAUUACCUAUCGAGGUUGUGGAUAGAUGAUCGAUUAGGAUUUUGGAGAGCAGUAGCAAUCACAAUAAAAAACCCUAGAGAGCACAUCGUCUUAUACAUAGGAAGACGAUAGAAGAUCUCAGUCAAAAUUGUGCUCCUGAUUUCUUGCAAUAAGCUUGAUUUACGAAAGAGUUAUUGUUGAUUUUAUGGGAUAAUUAAUAAUCAAAAUGAAAAUCGGACAUAGCGUUACAUAGAGAGAAGUUAGAGCGGG